AGCCCUCGUGAGUGGCAUUAGGCUUGACUGACUUACAAAAAAUCUUAACCAACUGUGUUCAGCCCUUUUCCCUUUCUGCCCUCUGCCAUGUGAGGUCACAGUGUUCCUCCCUCCUGAGGAUGCAGUGUUCAUGAAAGCAAACACUGGGCCCUCACCAGGCAACAAACCUGCUGGUGCCUUCAUCUUGGACUUCCCAGCCUUCGGAACUAUGGAGCCCGCACUCUCCAGUUCAUCACCACCCCAGCAUCCCUACUCUUGCAUCUAACAGUUUCCGCUAUUUUGCACCACCUGCCUGGCCCUUAUGGGCAACUCAAGGAAGAAAGGAAAGAAGAGAUAGAGGAAAAAUGGAUUCAACAAAUGAAAGUGUUCUUUCUGACUACUGCUGUGUUUACAAACAUUUUAAUCAUCAAAACAUGCUUUAUUUGAUAGAAAGAUCAAAUCUGCCUUUGUAAAACAAGAGACUAUUUUAAUCAUUAAGACAACACACAUGUUUGAUUUGGAGGCGUGUUCUCAUUCAAAACCUUGCAAAAUAUAAUUUCUUCUUGUCUGGGAGAUGGUGUCUUUCUUCGGGGAGAACCUUGAGAGAAAUGUCUAUGAAUGUGUCUGUAGAUUGAGGAUAGGCCAACAAACAUAUUUUGAAAUAUUUUUUCUUUCUUUUAAAAAAAUAGAUACUUUUAAAAGAAAAUGCUUAUUUAAAUUACAUAGCUCUUUUUUUCACUCUCAGUCAUCAUUUGUGGUUUCAGUCAGUACUACAUUUAUUCCCCAGAGCUAGGAUUGCUGUGUUUUUAGAAAGGGAGCCUGUUUGAAGGGACUCUAUACUCUUGCAGUAAUUAAAAUCCUUUUAGGAGUCUUUGACUUUGACUUACUGCUUUGUUUUAAAUUAUUGAAAUUAUUCAACUUCCCCAUUCUAACCCACGGAAGGCUGUUGUUGUUCUCAUUUAUAAUGGCACAAUAUAAGUUUAAAGAUAGCUGUCUCCACAUGAAUGCAUCUGCAAAUCCAUCUCUCUUCUCUCUUCUGCCAUCCAGGUUAAGAAGCUCCACUGCGCUUUGUCCAUUGCAAGUUGAGAAGUGAGGCCCCAGCUGUCACAUACAGCUCCAUCACAAGAGGGAGCCCCAUUGCUAGUCCCCAUCCUCAAAGCCUCUGCGUGAUGUUGUCUACUGUUACUCUUCACUACCCUGUGGGAGCCAAAGCCCUGGACAUAAGAACAGAAGGCAGUGGUGGCUGAGAGGAAGAACUGACACCUUUGUGCUAUCAGAGCACUUUGCAGAGGAGCUGUUAGUGGCCCUGUAGGAGUCUGCUGGCCAUACAUCUGGGUGUCAAAUCAAGAGAGCAUGAGAAGUUGGACAGGAAAGGUCCAAGGCAAAAUGGUUACUAAAGGCCAUCCCUGAUCCUGACCCUAAAAGAAGAAAAGGCCCUUUGCUCUUGGCAUGCUUUUGCAGGAGUGUCUCAGUCUGUUUGGGCUGCUAUAACAUUGACUGGGUGAUCUGCCUGCCUGGCCUCCCAAAGUGCUGGGGUUACAGGUGUGAGCCGCUGCACCAGGCCUUGAGGUCAGGAGUUCGAGACCAGCCUGGCCAACAUGGUGAAACCUGUCUUUACUAAAAAUACAGAAAUUAGCCAGGCAUGGAGGCGCAUGCCUGUAAUCCCAGCUACUGGGGAGGCUGAGGCAGGAGAAUCGCUUGAACCCAGAAGGUGGAGGUUGCGGUGAGCCCAGAUAGUGCCAUUGCACUCUAGCCUGGCCAACAAGAGUGAAACUCUGUCUCAAAAAAUAAAUAAACAAACAAACAAACAACAAC
RNAcentral lists this long non-coding RNA (1794 nucleotides) under Homo sapiens (human). Its description in RNAcentral is "HSALNT0046424". The record is from RNAcentral. Lineage: Eukaryota; Metazoa; Chordata; Mammalia; Primates; Hominidae.